UUGAAUAAGCCCGUAUCACCGUAGAAAGCUGGUGCCAACAUUGGCUUAAUAUCCUGCCGAGGUGAAGUGCGCGAGAAUGUCCCCCAGCCGUUGCGGCUGAUUUCCUGCGUCUUUGCCUGGCAGUUUUCGGGCGAAGACGUUUUAUUUUUCAGGA
This 154-nucleotide small RNA is filed under the name Levilinea saccharolytica. It matches the Rfam family "Ribosomal protein L10 leader". From Rfam's summary of the family: This family is a putative r-protein leader autoregulatory structure found in B. subtilis and other low-GC Gram-positive bacteria. Lineage: Bacteria; Bacillati; Chloroflexota; Anaerolineae; Anaerolineales; Anaerolineaceae. The record is from RNAcentral.